RNAcentral lists this long non-coding RNA (348 nucleotides) under Nicotiana benthamiana. Its description in RNAcentral is "long non-coding RNA (NBEN_LNC033006)". The record is from RNAcentral. Lineage: Eukaryota; Viridiplantae; Streptophyta; Magnoliopsida; Solanales; Solanaceae.
GACAAGGGGAAUUCAGGGGAAAUUGCAUACGGUGUUUCUCAGGGAGGCUUAUAGGAAGGGAGAGUUGAUUGAGCCAAAUGAUCUGUAUUUAGCUAGGAGAAGGCUGGCUGAGUUGGUUUUGAUGAGUCCAAGGAAAGCCAAUAUGGAUAAAGAAUUGGUUAAUUAUAGAAGGCGGGGAGACGAUGAUGAAAUAGCUGCUGUGAGAAGAGACAGUGUCGAAGUUGGUUUUGAUGAGUCCAAGGAAAGCGAAAAUGGAUAAAGAAUUUGUUAAUUAUAGAAGGCGGGAAGACGAUGAUGAAAUAGCUGAUGUGAGAAGAGACAACGCCGAGAAUGAAGGAGAUCAUUCAA